RNAcentral lists this ribosomal RNA (599 nucleotides) under Vibrio fluvialis. RNAcentral describes it as "bacterial SSU rRNA". It matches the Rfam family "Bacterial small subunit ribosomal RNA", at positions 65 to 655 of the family's 1533-position model. The record is from RNAcentral. Lineage: Bacteria; Pseudomonadati; Pseudomonadota; Gammaproteobacteria; Vibrionales; Vibrionaceae.
AACAUUGAACCUUCGGGGGAUUUGUUGGGCGGCGAGCGGCGGACGGGUGAGUAAUGCCUGGGAAAUUGCCCUGAUGUGGGGGAUAACCAUUGGAAACGAUGGCUAAUACCGCAUGAUAGCUUCGGCUCAAAGAGGGGGACCUUCGGGCCUCUCGCGUCAGGAUAUGCCCAGGUGGGAUUAGCUAGUUGGUGAGGUAAGGGCUCACCAAGGCGACGAUCCCUAGCUGGUCUGAGAGGAUGAUCAGCCACACUGGAACUGAGACACGGUCCAGACUCCUACGGGAGGCAGCAGUGGGGAAUAUUGCACAAUGGGCGCAAGCCUGAUGCAGCCAUGCCGCGUGUAUGAAGAAGGCCUUCGGGUUGUAAAGUACUUUCAGCAGUGAGGAAGGAGGUAUCGUUAAUAGCGGUAUCUUUUGACGUUAGCUGCAGAAGAAGCACCGGCUAACUCCGUGCCAGCAGCCGCGGUAAUACGGAGGGUGCGAGCGUUAAUCGGAAUUACUGGGCGUAAAGCGCAUGCAGGUGGUUUGUUAAGUCAGAUGUGAAAGCCCGGGGCUCAACCUCGGAAUUGCAUUUGAAACUGGCAGGCUAGAGUACUGUAGA